GCCAGGCACAGUACCUCACAGUGCCUGUAGUACCAGCUACUCUGGAGGCUAAGGCUGGAGGAUCUCUUGAGCCCAGGAGUUCUGGGCUGUGGUGCGCUAUGCUGAUUGGGUGUCUGCGCUAAGUUUGGUAUCAGUAUGGUGACCUCCUGGGAGCAGGGGACCACCAGGUUGCCUAAGGAGGGGUGAACCAGCCCAGGUUGGAAACGGAGCAGGUCAAAACUCCCAUGCUGAUCAGCAGUGGGAUCUCGCCUGUGAAUAGCCACUGCACUCCAGCCUGGGCAACAUAGCGAGACCCCGUCUCUU
Unclassified non-coding RNA from Callithrix jacchus (white-tufted-ear marmoset), 303 nucleotides. It matches the Rfam family "Metazoan signal recognition particle RNA". Rfam says of the family: The signal recognition particle (SRP) is a universally conserved ribonucleoprotein. It is involved in the co-translational targeting of proteins to membranes. Lineage: Eukaryota; Metazoa; Chordata; Mammalia; Primates; Cebidae. The record is from Ensembl.